RNAcentral lists this transfer RNA (82 nucleotides) under Halorubellus sp. JP-L1. It matches the Rfam family "tRNA". Rfam says of the family: Transfer RNA (tRNA) molecules are approximately 80 nucleotides in length. Their secondary structure includes four short double-helical elements and three loops (D, anti-codon, and T loops). The record is from Rfam by way of RNAcentral. Lineage: Archaea; Methanobacteriati; Methanobacteriota; Halobacteria; Halobacteriales; Halorubellaceae.
GCCAGGAUGGCCGAACGGUAAGGCGCACGCCUGGAAAGCGUGUUCCCGUAUGGGAUUCAGGGUUCAAAUCCCUGUCCUGGCG